RNAcentral lists this unclassified non-coding RNA (21 nucleotides) under Mus musculus (house mouse). Its description in RNAcentral is "oocyte_clustered_small_RNA11785". Lineage: Eukaryota; Metazoa; Chordata; Mammalia; Rodentia; Muridae. The record is from RNAcentral.
GCCAACCUUCCUCCCCCAUGU